GUGAGGAAUUUUCCGCAAUGGGCGAAAGCCUGACGGAGCAAUGCCGCGUGAAGGAUGAUGGCCUAUGGGUUGUAAACUUCUUUUCUCAGAAAAGAAUUAUGACGGUAUCUGAGGAAUAAGCAUCGGCUAACUCUGUGCCAGCAGCCGCGGUAAGACAGAGGAUGCAAGCGUUAUCCGGAAUGAUUGGGCGUAAAGCGUCUGUAGGUUGUUUAAAAAGUAUUCUGUCAAAGAUUAGGGCUUAACCCUAGAUAGGCAGAAUAAACUUUUAAGCUAGAGUUUGGUAGAGGCAGAGGGAAUUCCCGGUGGAGCGGUGAAAUGCGUAGAUAUCGGGAGGAACACCAAAGGCGAAGGCACUCUGCUGGGCCAAUACUAACACUGAGAGACGAAAGCGAGGGGAGCAAAUGGGAUUAGAUACCCGAGUAGUCC
Molecule: ribosomal RNA, 426 nt
Filed under: uncultured bacterium
Lineage: Bacteria
Description: bacterial SSU rRNA
Rfam family: Bacterial small subunit ribosomal RNA
Source: RNAcentral